Molecule: ribosomal RNA, 245 nt
Filed under: uncultured bacterium
Lineage: Bacteria
Description: partial 16S ribosomal RNA
Rfam family: Bacterial small subunit ribosomal RNA
Source: RNAcentral
UACGUAGGGUGCAAGCGUUGUCCGGAAUUAUUGGGCGUAAAGAGCUCGUAGGCGGUUGUCGCGUCGAAUGUGAAAACCCGGGGCUCAACCCCGGGCCUGCAUUCGAUACGGGCAGACUAGAGUUCGGUAGGGGAGACUGGAAUUCCUGGUGUAGCGGUGAAAUGCGUAGAGAUCGGGAGGAACACCAGUGGCGAAGGCGGCUCACUGGUCCAUUACUGACGCUGAGGUGCGAAAGCGUGGGAGCA